UGGGGAAUAUUGGGCAAUGGAGGAAACUCUGACCCAGCGACGCCGCGUGAGGGAUGAAGGCUUCGGGUUGUAAACCUCUUUCAGUAGGGAAGAAGCGAAAGUGACGGUACCUACAGAAGAAGCACCGGCUAACUAUGUGCCAGCAGCCGCGGUAAUACAUAGGGUGCAAGCGUUGUCCGGAAUUAUUGGGCGUAAAGAGCUCGUAGGUGGUUCGAUACGUCGGAUGUGAAAAUCAGGGGCUCAACCCCUGACCUGCAUCCGAUACGGUCGAGCUAGAGUUUGGUAGGGGAGACUGGAAUUCCUGGUGUAGCGGUGGAAUGCGCAGAUAUCAGGAGGAACACCGAUGGCGAAGGCAGGUCUCUGGGCCAAUACUGACACUGAGGAGCGAAAGCGUGGGGAGCGAACAGGAUUAGAUACCCUGGUAGUCCACGCGUAAACGUUGGGCGCUAGUUGUGCGAACCUUCCUCGGUUUGUGCGACGUCCUUCGCAUUAAGCGCCCUCACUGGGAGUCA
This 512-nucleotide ribosomal RNA is filed under the name uncultured Actinomycetes bacterium. RNAcentral describes it as "bacterial SSU rRNA". It matches the Rfam family "Bacterial small subunit ribosomal RNA", at positions 355 to 882 of the family's 1533-position model. The record is from RNAcentral. Lineage: Bacteria; Bacillati; Actinomycetota; Actinomycetes.